AGUGAACGCUGGCGGUAGGCCUAACACAUGCAAGUCGAACGGCAGCACAGUAAGAGCUUGCUCUUACGGGUGGCGAGUGGCGGACGGGUGAGGAAUACAUCGGAAUCUACUUUUUCGUGGGGGAUAACGUAGGGAAACUUACGCUAAUACCGCAUACGACCUACGGGUGAAAGCAGGGGAUCUUCGGACCUUGCGCGAUUGAAUGAGCCGAUGUCGGAUUAGCUAGUUGGCGGGGUAAAGGCCCACCAAGGCGACGAUCCGUAGCUGUUCUGAGAGGAUGAUCAGCCACACUGGAACUGAGACACGGUCCAGACUCCUACGGGAGGCAGCAGUGGGGAAUAUUGGACAAUGGGCGCAAGCCUGAUCCAGCCAUACCGCGUGAGUGAAGAAGGCCUUCGGGUUGUAAAGCCCUUUUGUUGGGAAAGAAAAGCAGCAGGUUAAUACCCCGCUGUUCUGACGGUACCCAAAGAAUAAGCACCGGCUAACUUCGUG
Molecule: ribosomal RNA, 492 nt
Filed under: uncultured bacterium
Lineage: Bacteria
Description: partial 16S ribosomal RNA
Rfam family: Bacterial small subunit ribosomal RNA
Source: RNAcentral